RNAcentral lists this long non-coding RNA (340 nucleotides) under Ananas comosus (pineapple). RNAcentral describes it as "long non-coding RNA (ACOM_LNC018249)". Lineage: Eukaryota; Viridiplantae; Streptophyta; Magnoliopsida; Poales; Bromeliaceae. The record is from RNAcentral.
UCCUUGUCAGUCCAAGCACACACAACCCAAGAUGUCUCGCUAGCCUUGUCAUUCAGACCCUGAUAUAGUCGGUCACCUUGUCAUACAGUAACCUAUCACCUUGUCUUUCAGACCCUGACUCAGUCGAGACUCGCCACACAUUUUCGGCUGGUGUUGGCUCUGAUACCAAAUGUACGACCUAGCCCACUAGCAACAAUAACUCAUUGGGUCCAACCACCGGCCCAAAAUGCUUAAACCCAGUUAUUAUUACUAGUGUCUAAGUAUCUUAUAAACCCAAUAACAUUCACAUUUCUAUCCGAUGUGGAAUUUUUAGGCUGUGACAGUGGCAUGCAAAUAUAUA